GACGAACGCUGGCGGCGUGCUUAACACAUGCAAGUCGAACGGUGACGGCAGAGCUUGCUGUGCCUGAGGAGUGGCGAACGGGUGAGUAACACGUGAGUAACCUGCCCCUCACUUCGGGAUAACCUCGGGAAAGCGGGGCUAAUACCGGAUAGGAGACCUGACUGCAUGGUGGGGGCUGGAAAGAUUCAGCGGUGGGGGAUGGACUCGCGGCCUAUCAGCUUGUUGGUGAGGUAACGGCUGACCAAGGCGACGACGGGUAGCCGGCCUGAGAGGGCGACCGGCCACACUGGGACUGAGAUACGGCCCAGACUCCUACGGGAGGCAGCAGUGGGGAAUAUUGCACAAUGGGCGCAAGCCUGAUGCAGCGACGCCGCGUGCGGGAUGACGGCCUUCGGGUUGUAAACCUCUUUCGGCUGGGACGAAGCGAAAGUGACGGUACCUGCAGAAGAAGCGCCGGCUAACUACGUG
This 468-nucleotide ribosomal RNA is filed under the name uncultured bacterium. Its description in RNAcentral is "partial 16S ribosomal RNA". It matches the Rfam family "Bacterial small subunit ribosomal RNA", at positions 28 to 507 of the family's 1533-position model. The record is from RNAcentral.